This 508-nucleotide ribosomal RNA is filed under the name uncultured bacterium. RNAcentral's name for it is "bacterial SSU rRNA". It matches the Rfam family "Bacterial small subunit ribosomal RNA", at positions 791 to 1304 of the family's 1533-position model. The record is from RNAcentral.
UAGUCCACGCCGUAAACGAUGAUUACUCGCUGUAGGCGAUACACAGUCUGUGGCUAAGCGAAAGUUUUAAGUAAUCCACCUGGGGAGUACGAUCGCAAGAUUGAAACUCAAAGGAAUUGACGGGGGCCCGCACAAGCGGAGGAACAUGUGGUUUAAUUCGAUGAUACGCGAGGAACCUUACCUGGACUUAAAUGUACGUUGCAUGGAUUAGAGAUAGUCCUUUCUUCGGACUACGUACAAGGUGCUGCAUGGUUGUCGUCAGCUCGUGCCGUGAGGUGUCGGGUUAAGUCCCAUAACGAGCGCAACCCCUAUCCUUAGUUGCCAGCGGGUCAUGCCGGGGACUCUGAGGAGACUGCCACCGUAAGGUGUGAGGAAGGUAAGGAUGACGUCAAGUCAGCAUGCCCCUUACGCUCUGGGCUACACACGUGCUACAAUGGUCGUGACAAAGAGUUGCUAGUCUGCGAAGGCAAACCAAUCUCAUAAACGCGGCCUUAGUUCGGAUUGCAGG